GGCACAAACUUGGAGUAUAGUAGAGUAGUAUGGUUAGCUAAUCCUACUAAUCUACUCUACUUCAAAGUUGGGCCC
Haemonchus placei is the source of this 75-nucleotide non-coding RNA. Lineage: Eukaryota; Metazoa; Nematoda; Chromadorea; Rhabditida; Trichostrongylidae. The record is from Rfam.